CAGUCGCCGCGGUAAAACGAGGGGGGCGAGCGUUGUUCGGAAUUAUUGGGCGUAAAGGGUGCGUAGGCGGUUUGGUAAGUCUCAUGUGAAAUCCCCGGGCUUAACCUGGGAACUGCAUUUGAAACUGUCAGGCUGGAGUCUUGUAGAGGGGGGUGGAAUUCCAGGUGUAGCGGUGAAAUGCGUAGAGAUCUGAAGGAAUACCGGUGGCGAAGGCGGCCCCCUGGACAAAGACUGACGCUCAGGUGCGAAAGCGUGGGGAGCAAACAGGAUUAGAUACCCCUGUAGUCCCUGUCUCUUAUAC
RNAcentral lists this ribosomal RNA (301 nucleotides) under uncultured bacterium. RNAcentral's name for it is "partial 16S ribosomal RNA". It matches the Rfam family "Bacterial small subunit ribosomal RNA", at positions 509 to 807 of the family's 1533-position model. The record is from RNAcentral.